RNAcentral lists this ribosomal RNA (301 nucleotides) under uncultured bacterium. RNAcentral describes it as "partial 16S ribosomal RNA". It matches the Rfam family "Bacterial small subunit ribosomal RNA", at positions 509 to 807 of the family's 1533-position model. The record is from RNAcentral.
CAGUAGCCACGGGAAUACAGAGGGUGCGAGCGUUAAUCGGAUUUACUGGGCGUAAAGCGUGCGUAGGCGGCUUCUUAAGUCGGAUGUGAAAUCCCUGAGCUUAACUUAGGAAUUGCAUUCGAUACUGGGAAGCUAGAGUAUGGGAGAGGAUGGUAGAAUUCCAGGUGUAGCGGUGAAAUGCGUAGAGAUCUGGAGGAAUACCGAUGGCGAAGGCAGCCAUCUGGCCUAAUACUGACGCUGAGGUACGAAAGCAUGGGGAGCAAACAGGAUUAGAGACCCGCGUAGUCCCUGUCUCUUAUAC